This 65-nucleotide transfer RNA is filed under the name Orthetrum melania. RNAcentral describes it as "tRNA-Gly". Lineage: Eukaryota; Metazoa; Arthropoda; Insecta; Odonata; Libellulidae. The record is from RNAcentral.
ACUUUCCUAAUAUAUUAGUAUAUUUGACUUCCAAUCAAAAAGUCUGAAUAAUUUCAGGGUAAGUA